UACGGAGGGUGCAAGCGUUACUCGGAAUUACUGGGCGUAAAGGGCGCGUAGGUGGUUGGUUAAGUCUGAUGUGAAAGCCCUGGGCUCAACCUGGGAAUGGCAUUGGAAACUGGCGGCCUAGAGUGCGGUAGAGGGUAGUGGAAUUCCCGGUGUAGCAGUGAAAUGCGUAGAGAUCGGGAGGAACAUCUGUGGCGAAGGCGACUGCCUGGACCAGCACUGACACUGAGGCACGAAAGCGUGGGGAGCAAACAGG
RNAcentral lists this ribosomal RNA (253 nucleotides) under uncultured bacterium. RNAcentral describes it as "partial 16S ribosomal RNA". It matches the Rfam family "Bacterial small subunit ribosomal RNA", at positions 524 to 776 of the family's 1533-position model. The record is from RNAcentral.